RNAcentral lists this ribosomal RNA (253 nucleotides) under uncultured bacterium. RNAcentral's name for it is "partial 16S ribosomal RNA". It matches the Rfam family "Bacterial small subunit ribosomal RNA", at positions 524 to 776 of the family's 1533-position model. The record is from RNAcentral.
GACGUAGGGCGCGAGCGUUGUCCGGAUUUAUUGGGCGUAAAGAGCUCGUAGGCGGCUUGUUGCGUCGACCGUGAAAACCCGGGGCUCAACCCCGGGCCUGCAGUCGAUACGGGCAGACUAGAGUGCGGUAGGGGAGACUGGAAUUCCUGGUGUAGCGGUGAAAUGCGCAGAUAUCAGGAGGAACACCGGUGGCGAAGGCGGGUCUCUGGGCCGUAACUGACGCUGAGGAGCGAAAGCGUGGGGAGCGAACAGG